UUCCGGUUGAUCCUGCCGGACCUGAUUGCUAUCGGAUUGGUACUAAGCCAUGCGAGUAAGUGUAGCAAUACACUGCAGACGGCUCAGUAACACGUGGUCAAGCUAACCUAUGGACAUGGAUAACCUCGGGAAACUGAGAAUAAACCGCGAUAGAUCAUGAUGCCUGGAAUGGCUCAUGGUCGAAAUAGUUUACUGCCGUAGGAUGCGACUGCGGCCUAUCAGUUUGUUGGUGAGGUAAUGGCCCACCAAGACUACUACAGGUACGGGCUCUGAGAGGAGAAGCCCGGAGAUGGGUACUGAGACACGGACCCAGGCCCUAUGGGGCGCAGCAGGCGAGAAACCUUAGCAAUGUGCGAAAGCACGACUGGGUUAGUCCGAGUGAUUCCUGCUAAAGGAAUCCUUUGCCGGUCCUAAAAGCACCGGUGAAUAAGGGGUGGGCAAGUCUGGUGUCAGCCGCCGCGGUAAUACCAGCACCUCGAGUGAUCAGGACGUUUAUUGGGCCUAAAGCAUCCGUAGCUGGCUUUGCAAGUCUCCGGUUAAAUCAACCUGCUCAACAGAUUGGCCGCAGGAGAUACUACAAGGCUAGGGAGUGGGAGAGGCAGACGGUAUUCGGGGGGUAGGGGUAAAAUCCUCUGAUCCUCUGAGGACCACCAGUGGCGAAGGCGGUCUGCCAGAACACGUUCGACAGUGAGGGAUGAAAGCUGGGGGAGCAAACCGGAUUAGAUACCCGGGUAGUCCCAGCUGUAAACGAUGCAAACUCGGUGAAGCAUUGGCUUAAUGCUAAUGCUGUGCCGCAGGAGGCCGUUAAGUUUGCCGCCUGGGAAGUACGGUCGCAGAUUGAAACUUAAAGGAAUUGGCGGGGGGAGCACACAGGGGUUGAAGCCUGCAGUUCAUGAUUCACGCCUGG
RNAcentral lists this ribosomal RNA (907 nucleotides) under uncultured archaeon. RNAcentral describes it as "bacterial SSU rRNA". It matches the Rfam family "Archaeal small subunit ribosomal RNA", at positions 1 to 922 of the family's 1478-position model. The record is from RNAcentral.